RNAcentral lists this ribosomal RNA (452 nucleotides) under uncultured bacterium. RNAcentral's name for it is "bacterial SSU rRNA". It matches the Rfam family "Bacterial small subunit ribosomal RNA", at positions 30 to 473 of the family's 1533-position model. The record is from RNAcentral.
AUUGAACGCUGGCGGCAUGCCUUACACAUGCAAGUCGAACGGCAGCACGGGAGCUUGCUCCUGGUGGCGAGUGGCGAACGGGUGAGUAAUACAUCGGAACGUACUCUGAAGUGGGGGAUAACGUAGCGAAAGUUACGCUAAUACCGCAUAUUCUGUGAGCAGGAAAGAGGGGGAUCGCAAGACCUCUUGCUUUAGGAGCGGCCGAUGUCGGAUUAGCUAGUUGGUGAGGUAAAGGCUCACCAAGGCGACGAUCCGUAGCGGGUCUGAGAGGAUGAUCCGCCACACUGGGACUGAGACACGGCCCAGACUCCUACGGGAGGCAGCAGUGGGGAAUUUUGGACAAUGGGCGCAAGCCUGAUCCAGCCAUGCCGCGUGAGUGAAGAAGGCCUCGGUUGUAAAGGACUCUUCGUUGGGGUAAGGAAAGUAGGCACGGGUUAAGUAACCCUCGUGUU